CCUCUUCGAUCUGCUGGGGGCAGAUAAAGUGGAUAUGGGCGUCCAUCGCCCCGGCGGUGAUGAUGCGGCCCUCGCUGGCGAUGAUCUCGGUCGAGGGGCCGAUGAUGAUGGUGACGCCGGGCUGGGUAUCGGGAUUGCCUGAUUUGCCGAUGGCGUGGAUGCGCCCGUCCUUGAGGCCGAUAUCGGCCUUGUAGAUGCCGGAGUGAUCGAUGAUCAGCGCAUUGGUGAUGACGGUAUCGACGGCGCCUUCGGCGCGGGUCCUUUGGCUCUGGCCCAUGCCGUCGCGGAUG
Molecule: small RNA, 290 nt
Filed under: Devosia limi DSM 17137
Lineage: Bacteria; Pseudomonadati; Pseudomonadota; Alphaproteobacteria; Hyphomicrobiales; Devosiaceae
Description: 5' ureB small RNA
Rfam family: 5' ureB small RNA
Source: Rfam by way of RNAcentral